RNAcentral lists this long non-coding RNA (1286 nucleotides) under Equus caballus (horse). RNAcentral's name for it is "lncRNA (ENSECAG00000045182.1)". Lineage: Eukaryota; Metazoa; Chordata; Mammalia; Perissodactyla; Equidae. The record is from RNAcentral.
AAGAACUGUUUACAAGAAGGUACUAUUUGAAGAGACCAAAAGAGGUUGAAAAGUGAGCCAUGUGGAUAUCUGGAGAAAGUAUUACAAGCAGAAGGAAAAGCACAUACAAAGGCCCUGAGGCAGGUUUUUAAGAAUAAAAGUCGAAAAUAUACUCCACUGGCAGCUCCAGAUUUGAGUCCUGUUUCAGACGCACCUUCUACUGAGCGCCAUUGAUGGGCACCACAGCUCACGACGUCCUGGCGAAUAAUUCACACUGACCGUAGUGACUCUUCGAAAAGGCAGCAGGUUCUGAAACUCAUACUUCCUGUUAGUGAAAGGAGACAUUGCUUUUUCCUCCCCACAGGGAUUCUGUAAAAAUACAGAUACCUAGUCCUGAUGAGGCUGUGGUGAAAUUACAACCGGCUGCUGAUAGGAGCGUGGGUUAGACACUUCCCUGGAGCGUAACGUAUUGGGCGACAUAUGUGAAGAAUCUAGAGCUAUACGCUACUCUUUUCACUGAUCUUUUACUCUUUUACCUCGAGGAAUUUGUACUAAGCAAGUAAGCAGCAAUGCACACAAAGAUUUGCUUACAAGGAGAAAACUCUUCAGAUGGCUUGGAGCUGUUUCAGGCGGAGCCUGCAGAUCAAGGAGAGCUGGGGACGUUGUCAUAGGGGCCAGCUCGCUGACCUGAAGACUGCAAGGUGAGCUUUAACCAGACAAGAGUGCUGGAGGAUUCAAGUCAAACUACUACACCCAGACAGGUCAGGAAAGAAUCCAGAGAGCUCUCCAGUGUUCCUGAAGACACUGGCCCAAACAGCUUUAAAGGUUCAAGACAUCUUGGCUAUUCCCAAGAGGAAAGCAAAAAAGAUAAUCCACUCAUAAACAUACAAACAAACCUGUAAUCCAGGCUUUGGGUUCAGUUGUUGCCUCUAAAUAAAGACAUUCUGGAACUGAGAAACAUCCAAAACCCUAUCCCCAAAAGGAUGGAGCCACUUCUGAAGAAUGGAAGGAUUUCAAGCUAGAUUCUUCACCCCAUAAAAAUGGUGGCUUGGCAUCCAUCAGUUAUGGGAGAAAGUGGAAUUUUCCAUCAGCUUCUGUUCCACCGGGCCCAGCAGAAUCCAGGAUAAAUAAUGAAAAGGAAACUUUACUGAGCACUCGCUCGUGCCAGGCCCGGUUCCCCAUCUCCACGUGGGGCAGUCUGCUGGACCCCCUCAACAUCGCUUCAGCGUAGAUAUUAUUAUCACUUCUCCAUUUGAGGAAAUGGGGAAACUGAGUCCAAGAGUUGACGGAACUUGUCACAAGCUGAC